Molecule: ribosomal RNA, 378 nt
Filed under: uncultured alga
Lineage: Eukaryota
Description: bacterial LSU rRNA
Rfam family: Bacterial large subunit ribosomal RNA
Source: RNAcentral
UAACCCUUUACUGCAACUUGGACAGUGAGGCUCGGGGACAGUCUGGCGUAGGAUAGGUGGGAGGCUUUGAGUCGGUGUUCCGGCCUCAGAUGGAGCCAACGUUGAAAUACCACCCUGGCUCGUUCUGGCUUCUAACCGGUACACCCCGUCAUCCGGGUGCGGGACACUGUCUGGUGGGCAGUCUUGACUGGGCGGUCGCCUCCCAAAAGGUAACGGAGGCGCGCGAAGGUACCCUCAGGCUGAUUGGAAACCAGCCGUAGAGUGCAAACGCAAAAGGGUGCUUAACUGUGAGAGGGACACCUCGAGCAGGUGCGAAAGCAGGCGUUAGUGAUCCGGUGGUCCCGCAUGGAAGGGCCAUCGCUCAUCGGACAAAAGGUA